Molecule: ribosomal RNA, 464 nt
Filed under: uncultured bacterium
Lineage: Bacteria
Description: partial 16S ribosomal RNA
Rfam family: Bacterial small subunit ribosomal RNA
Source: RNAcentral
CUACGGGUUGCUGCAGUGGGGAAUUUUGGACAAUGGGCGCAAGCCUGAUCCAGCCAUGCCGCGUGUGUGAAGAAGGCCUUCGGGUUGUAAAGCACUUUCGGCCGGAACGAAAUCGCCCGUGUUAACAGCGCGGGUGGAUGACGGUACCGGAAGAAGAAGCACCGGCUAACUACGUGCCAGCAGCCGCGGUAAUACGUAGGGUGCGAGCGUUAAUCGGAAUUACUGGGCGGAAAGGGUGCGCAGGCGGCUCCGCAUGUCGGGCGUGAAAUCCCCGGGCGUAACCUGGGAAUUGCGUCCGAAACUACCGGGCUGGAGUGUGGCAGAGGGAGGUGGAAUUCCACGUGUAGCGGUGAAAUGCGUAGAGAUGUGGAGGAACACCGAUGGCGAAGGCAGCCUCCUGGGCCAACACUGACGCUCAUGCACGAAAGCGUGGGGAGCAAACAGGAUUAGAUACCCCAGUAGUC